RNAcentral lists this ribosomal RNA (755 nucleotides) under uncultured bacterium. Its description in RNAcentral is "bacterial SSU rRNA". It matches the Rfam family "Bacterial small subunit ribosomal RNA", at positions 102 to 857 of the family's 1533-position model. The record is from RNAcentral.
ACGGGUGAGUAACGCGUGGAUAACCUGCCGUAUACAGGGGGAUAACACUUAGAAAUAGGUGCUAAUACCGCAUAAGCGCACGGUUCCGCAUGGAACAGUGUGAAAAACUCCGGUGGUAUACGAUGGAUCCGCGUCUGAUUAGCCAGUUGGCGGGGUAACGGCCCACCAAAGCGACGAUCAGUAGCCGGCCUGAGAGGGUGAACGGCCACAUUGGGACUGAGACACGGCCCAAACUCCUACGGGAGGCAGCAGUGGGGAAUAUUGCACAAUGGGGGAAACCCUGAUGCAGCGACGCCGCGUGAGUGAAGAAGUAUUUCGGUACGUAAAGCUCUAUCAGCAGGGAAGAAAAAAAGUCCUUUGGACUUUGGACGGUACCUGACCAAGAAGCCCCGGCUAACUACGUGCCGGCAGCCGCGGUAAUACGUAGGGGGCAAGCGUUAUCCGGAUUUACUGGGUGUAAAGGGAGCGUAGACGGCAGCGCAAGUCUGGAGUGAAAUGCCGGGGCCCAACCCCGGAACUGCUUUGGAAACUGUGCAGCUCGAGUGCAGGAGAGGUAAGCGGAAUUCCUAGUGUAGCGGUGAAAUGCGUAGAUAUUAGGAGGAACACCAGUGGCGAAGGCGGCUUACUGGACUGUAACUGACGUUGAGGCUCGAAAGCGUGGGGAGCAAACAGGAUUAGAUACCCUGGUAGUCCACGCCGUAAACGAUAAUUAAUAGGUGUCGGGGGGCCAAGGCCCUUCGGUGCCGCCGCAAACG